This 1372-nucleotide ribosomal RNA is filed under the name uncultured bacterium. RNAcentral describes it as "bacterial SSU rRNA". It matches the Rfam family "Bacterial small subunit ribosomal RNA", at positions 28 to 1381 of the family's 1533-position model. The record is from RNAcentral.
GAUGAACGCUGGCGGCGUGCCUAAUACAUGCAAGUCGAGCGAACGGACGAGAAGCUUGCUUCUCUGAUGUUAGCGGCGGACGAGUGAGUAACACGUGGAUAACCUACCUAUAAGACUGGGAUAACUUCGGGAAACCGGAGCUGAUACCGGAUAAUAUUUUGAACCGCAUGGUUCAAAAGUGAAAGACGGUCUUGCUGUCACUUAUAGAUGGAUCCGCGCUGCAUUAGCUAGUUGGUAAGGUAACGGCUUACCAAGGCAACGAUGCAUAGCCGACCUGAGAGGGUGAUCGGCCACACUGGAACUGAGACACGGUCCAGACUCCUACGGGAGGCAGCAGUAGGGAAUCUUCCGCAAUGGGCGAAAGCCUGACGGAGCAACGCCGCGUGAGUGAUGAAGGUCUUCGGAUCGUAAAACUCUGUUAUUAGGGAAGAACAUAUGUGUAAGUAACUGUGCACAUCUUGACGGUACCUAAUCAGAAAGCCACGGCUAACUACGUGCCAGCAGCCGCGGUAAUACGUAGGUGGCAAGCGUUAUCCGGAAUUAUUGGGCGUAAAGCGCGCGUAGGCGGUUUUUUAAGUCUGAUGUGAAAGCCCACGGCUCAACCGUGGAGGGUCAUUGGAAACUGGAAAACUUGAGUGCAGAAGAGGAAAGUGGAAUUCCAUGUGUAGCGGUGAAAUGCGCAGAGAUAUGGAGGAACACCAGUGGCGAAGGCGACUUUCUGGUCUGUAACUGACGCUGAUGUGCGAAAGCGUGGGGAUCAAACAGGAUUAGAUACCCUGGUAGUCCACGCCGUAAACGAUGAGUGCUAAGUGUUAGGGGGUUUCCGCCCCUUAGUGCUGCAGCUAACGCAUUAAGCACUCCGCCUGGGGAGUACGACCGCAAGGUUGAAACUCAAAGGAAUUGACGGGGACCCGCACAAGCGGUGGAGCAUGUGGUUUAAUUCGAAGCAACGCGAAGAACCUUACCAAAUCUUGACAUCCUUUGACAACUCUAGAGAUAGAGCCUUCCCCUUCGGGGGACAAAGUGACAGGUGGUGCAUGGUUGUCGUCAGCUCGUGUCGUGAGAUGUUGGGUUAAGUCCCGCAACGAGCGCAACCCUUAAGCUUAGUUGCCAUCAUUAAGUUGGGCACUCUAAGUUGACUGCCGGUGACAAACCGGAGGAAGGUGGGGAUGACGUCAAAUCAUCAUGCCCCUUAUGAUUUGGGCUACACACGUGCUACAAUGGGACAAUACAAAGGGCAGCGAAACCGCGAGGUCAAGCAAAUCCCAUAAAGUUGUUCUCAGUUCGGAUUGUAGUCUCCACCUCGACUACAUGAAGCUGGAAUCGCUAGUACUGAUAGAUCAGCAUGCUACGGAAAGACGUUCCCGGGUCU